This is an RNA transcript of Belonocnema kinseyi, 1775 nucleotides long. It is a transcript of the gene named probable citrate synthase 2, mitochondrial, with no coding region annotated. NCBI's taxonomy places the organism in Eukaryota, Metazoa, Arthropoda, Insecta, Hymenoptera, Cynipidae. The transcript has 10 exons. The record is from RefSeq and is a predicted model, not a curated record.
UAAAACAUCAAAUUUGGGUUAAGUUUUCGACAAACUAAAUUUUGAGUGAUUAAAAAAAUGUUUAAAAAACUAAAACAAGCAAAAAAAUUAUAAUAAUUAUGGCAACACAAAUUUGUUGGAAAUACUGUGAUGUCAGAAAAUGUCUUAAUUGAUCAAAAUAAUAAUGCUGCAGUUGUCUCACGGAAUAAAAUUGCAAAUUCGGCAUCCUAUACUCCAGGGAAGUCGAAAUUUUGGAAAUGGAGAAAAAUCCACUUUGAGGGUUAGUACAACAAAAGGAGUUCCUAGUAAGAGUACAGAUUUAAAAGAAGCUCUCUGUGAGAAGAUUCCUCUUCAAUAUGACCUUCUUCGAAAAAUCCGACGUCAGCAUGGUUCUACGAUCGUCAGUCAAAUUACAAUUGACGAUAUAUUUCGCGGCUUAAGAGGAGUGAAUACAAUUAUCAGAGAAACUUCAGAAGUCGAUUCUAAAUUGGGAAUACAAUACAGGGGACUGACAAUACCCGAAGUAUUGACCCUUCUUCCACGUCGUGGAAGCUCACCUAGUCCGGAAGCAGUUUUUUGGCUGUUACUAACAGGAGAUGUUCCGACUAUGGAACAAACUGAGUCUCUUAUUGCCGAUUGGUCGGCUAGGAGAGAAAAAAGAAAAGAAUGGUGGUUAGAGGCAGGAGAUGGGGGUAUCGUGGGAGCAGUUUUGAAAUCUCUACCAAAGACAGUUACCCCUUUGAGACGACUUUCUAUUGCACUUACAACACUGGAUGCUGACAAGCACACAAAAAGUGCCAUUAAAAACGGAGCAAUGAAAUACACCCACUGGGAAUAUAUUUAUGAAGAUAGUAUGGAAAUUCUAGCGACUCUGCCAGCUAUUGUUUGUUUAACCGGGCCACAACAAAGUUUAAAGUUCACGCAUCACAAAGAAGGGGACUGGGUAGAUUUUCUCCUUGACUGUAUUGGAAACAUUUCACAUAUAGGAAAGGAGGGAAAAAAAUCACUAGGAGAAUUUCUGAGACUUUAUAUUGCAGUUAAUGCAGACGACGAUGGUGGCAUACCAGGUGCCCACGUUACACAAAUUUUGGGAACAGCUCAACCUGCAAUUAGUCAAGCUUUAGCAGCUGGUAUUCCAGCUUAUUUUAAUGAGCCCAGAACUGGAACGAUGAGCCAGUACGUACAUUUUCAAACGAAAGUACAAAGUGUUUUCGGCGUUGAACCUGAGAAGGAUGCUUUGAAAAGUUUCCUGAGUGUACUUGUCGAUAAAAGCUCAGAAAUCGUAGCUCACAAAGAGUCUGAAUUCGGAGACUCGCGAUACAAUGCGCUGCGAGAAUUUGCCAGAGAAAAUCUGCCGAAUGAUCCGAGGAUCAAACUUUCUCAGGAUAUAUCUGGAAUAUUGUCAGCUAUAAGAGAAAGUUCAAAUAAGAAAAAGAUUUGGCCCGAGGAAUCUGCUAUAGCAGCUCCAAUUUUUGAAGGGGAACCUGCUUCACCUCCCACCACUGUGCCUGUACGGUCUCGCGCGCGUCAGUGGCAGGCCAAUGAACAGCGCACGCGUUGACACCAUGUAAGCACAGCCAAUGAGCGUCGCUUGACAAACUCGCCCCACGACUCGCGGUAGAGAUGGGGGCCCCUGCAAAUUUGGAAUAUCGGAAUGUUUACGUUUCUCGGCCUUUGGAAUGACUUUACGGAUUGAAAGACAUGGAAUUCAAUCAAGUUUUUCUCUGCAUGUCUCGAGCUCUUGGUGCAGUAGCUUCUAUAAUCUGGGCAAAAGCAUUGGACACACCAGUUGAAUG